RNAcentral lists this long non-coding RNA (3158 nucleotides) under Populus trichocarpa (black cottonwood). RNAcentral's name for it is "long non-coding RNA (PTRI_LNC003074)". The record is from RNAcentral. Lineage: Eukaryota; Viridiplantae; Streptophyta; Magnoliopsida; Malpighiales; Salicaceae.
ACCUCUCUCAAUCUCUCUCAGAUCUUCUGCUCCUGCUGCAAUUUGUAUGGCAGCCAAUUUCAAGAACACUGGCAUCUUGGGGAAGCGAGUAGUCAACCAGAUCUGGACUCCCAACUCCGCUCGCUCUUUCUCUGUUUCCAAUACUCCGUCUCUCAGGUUUGAUUUGACUUCUUCUCGAUCAUAGAAGUUUUGAUCAUCAGUUUAAUUCAUGUUUAAAUAGCUUAGCUUUGCCGAUUCCACUCCCUGACAUUAAUAAUCUUCAAGAUAUAUUGUUUCUUCUCUGCUCGAAAGUCUUGAUUAUUGUGAUUGUCUAUGUAUGUAUGCGAUAGCGUUGAUACAUUUUCUCCCAAGGAAAGCUCGAAAGUCUCUUACUGAUAUUUCCUGUAAUCCAGAAGUGUUCUACCGUCAAGAUAGAGACGAGUAUUUCCGUACGGACUGCAAAAAUUGAAAACAGUAACAACAAGCGAUUCUAAAGUUAUUUCCGUUUUUAGGGUUCGAGGGGUCUCAAGUUCAAAACUCUUCUUUUUUCUUAUGACAUGACUCUCCCUUGUCUCAAUUCUCCUAAAGUCAAAAAAAAAAAAAAAAAUUAAUCAAGCUGCCGUUCCUUAAUUAUAAAGAAAUUCUAUUCUAGGUGUGUGUAUAUAUAUAUAUAUAUUUCAAGAUAGAUUCAGGAAAUAAUUAAUAAAAUCUCAUUAAUUACUUUUUAUAUUAUAUUUCUCAAUUCACAAGAACUACCAUAAAAUUAAAUACACGCGGAAUCAAGUAAAUAGUGUCAAAAAACUUCAUUCUCAAGUAAUAAUAAUUGCUGGGCACAUGCUAAAACUCGUCGUUUUGUAAAGCCCAGUGUGUUUUAUUUCUUCCUCUUUGUUUGCGUACGGCAAAGCUCCACGAGAUCCACCUUCCUUAGAGAAAAUCUGUCCCUAAACAUGAUCUGAUCCAGAGGGAGUCUGAGUGUGACAUAAAUAUUUUAAGGGAUUACUUUGUCAACUUAUGCAGAAGUUUUCUAGUGUCUUUAUUCACAUAUAAUCAGAUAUUAUUUAUUUAUUAAAUUAAAAAUUUAGAAAUAAUUUGUGGGUUACUUAUCGUUAUCUGGUGGAGUCACGUGACUUUCAAGGGUCAUAUCGUUGUCCCCCAUUUAAUUAUUUUUUAUUAAUCCGCGCCUACCCAUGUAAUUGUCACAUGGCGAGGCCACCUACUCUCCCAUUCACGCAGUAUUAGUUAUUUGUUUUUAAAAAUAAAUAAAUAUAAAAGCUUUUUAUUUUUUUAAAAUCCAAUUAUAAAUCAAAAGGUCUAUACAUGCAUUUAAUUAAAUACAUCGAAAACCAUUUGUGCCAAUAAAUACAAAAAACAAGGUGUUAACGUGUCUAUUCAACUUGUCUUCAUGCAUUUAAUUAAAUAUAUCGAAAACUAUUUGUGUCAACAAAUACAAAAAACAAGGUGUUAACGUGUCUAUUCAAUUUGCCUCGUUAUAGAUCAAACAACUUUUUUCUAACGUAAAAUAGUUAAUGUGUAGAUAUUUGUAACCUGUUUUUAUGACAUCGAGUAACAAAUAUAACUAUGAAUCAAAAAAUUGAUGUUUAUAUAGAAUAAAAUAUAAUAAAAAAUAUAUAUGUUAAUAAAAACAUUAAUUUUUAACGUAAUAAAAGAAUGAAAUAGUAAUAGAAGAAGAAUGAAAUAAUAUUGGAAUUGCUAAAGUGAAUUGUUAUUUUGUUUUAUAAUAAUUUAAAAAAAAAUUGUAAAGAAAAAAAAAAUUCCCCUGCUAUUUUUAAGUAGUCAUAGGGGUUCAUGAGCGGAUGAGGGGUUCACCCAUCAGUCACCCAACCUAUCCUUGAUCCGAUUUCCUAACUUAUUUUUUUGUUCUUGAUUACAAGUAGCUGUAAUUUUUUUAUCACAAAAAUUAUGGUGUGUUUGUUAAGAGGGAUCAAGGGAAGGAUGGAAGAGGGGAGAGGGAUUGUGCUUCACUUUAUUUGGUGAGACUUGAGGAAGGAUUGAAGUAUCUUUCAUCACUUGUAAUUUUCAAUCUCCUAAUUUGCUUCCAAUUUUCCCCUCUUUUUGUAAAUUAAUGCUCUCAAUUUGAUUUGAUUGACUACCAUCAUUUCUCUUCUUGUUAACAAACUUACCCUUUCCUCCCAAAUUUUCUGUAGUUAAUUUCAAUCCUUAUAUUUUGAGUUUACUUUAAUUUAGCCCUCUAAAGAGUUUAUGUUUAAGAGUUGUUUCAAUUAAAUCCCUCAAGAUAACCCCCCAAUUAAAUCCUUGUUUUUUGAAAGUUAUUUCACAUCUUGAAGCUUUUGGUUAUUUAAUUUCCAGGUCUUGUUAAUUUCAUCACUUUUUCUAUGGAGACACCUUUCUUUCCAUUUCUGGUUUAUUUAGUGUUUCCUUCGUUCUCUAAUUAAAAGAGUUACUUCUCGGACCCGUAAGGAAGCCUUAAGUUACUUAGCCAGGUUACUCUAAUCAGAAGUAAUCUUUUAUUCUUAAUUACCAGAUACCAAGUGUUCCCUACAUUUUCCAAUUGUUUUCCUUUACCGCUUUUCUUUUAAUAGUUUUGGUGAAUAUUAUUUUAUACACUAAAACUGCGAUGCUUUUAAAAAGAAUCAGGUGGGAAAAUUAAUGAACAUUAAUCUAAUGCUUUUUAAAAUAUUUGGGACUUAAUCUAUAGAAUUUAUAGGUUUAGAACUCAACCGAAUUUAUAGGUUUAGAACAAAAAUGAGUUUUCUGAGGUUAUAAUUCAUCACAUUUUAUGAGAAUUGCUGCUGACUGCUGCUACUAGCUAGAUGCGUAUGUGUUGUGCUUGUGCCACCCGAUCCCACCUUGAACUUUCUCGUUAUUGGACUCUGUUUAUUGCUCUAAUUAUAGUUUAUGUGAAUCAAUGCUGACGGUGAUAUUGCGGCAGGGGUGCUCACACAUCGGUGUACGACAAGAACCUGGAUGAUGAGUUGCAACCGAAUGUGGUGCCGGAUGAUGUGAUCAAGCCCCAGUCCGACAAGUACUGGGCUCCACACCCACGAACCGGUGUCUUUGGGCCUGCCACUGAGCAGCACCUCUCUGAGAUCAGCGGGGACAGUGCCUCUGUGGGAAACGGUGGUCAGGACCCAGUGUUGGAGGAGAAGGCGUGGUUCCGCCCCACCAGCCUUGAGGACCUGGAGAAGCCACACCGUCUU